CACAAUAUGUAGGAUGAAGGUGCUCAGACGAUAUUUGAGCUUAAAAGGGAAUCUGGUUAAAAGCCAGAACUGUCCUCGCAACUGUAAGUGUGUACGAAAGGGAGUUCCACUGUGCGGCAAGCCGUAUGGGAAGGGCCCGGAGUAGGGUGAUACACAAGUCAGUAGACCUGCCUGAAUCUAGCGUUUCAA
This 189-nucleotide non-coding RNA is filed under the name Pontibacillus marinus. The record is from RNAcentral. Lineage: Bacteria; Bacillati; Bacillota; Bacilli; Caryophanales; Bacillaceae. RNAcentral also lists the same sequence under 1 other name.